UACGUAGGGUGCGAGCGUUGUCCGGAAUUAUUGGGCGUAAAGAGCUCGUAGGCGGUCUGUCGCGUCUGCUGUGAAAUCCCGAGGCUCAACCUCGGGCUUGCAGUGGGUACGGGCAGGCUAGAGUGCGGUAGGGGAGAAUGGAACUCCUGGUGUAGCGGUGGAAUGCGCAGAUAUCAGGAAGAACACCGAUGGCGAAGGCAGUUCUCUGGGCCGUAACUGACGCUGAGGCACGAAAGCGUGGGGAGCAAACAGG
RNAcentral lists this ribosomal RNA (253 nucleotides) under uncultured bacterium. RNAcentral's name for it is "partial 16S ribosomal RNA". It matches the Rfam family "Bacterial small subunit ribosomal RNA", at positions 524 to 776 of the family's 1533-position model. The record is from RNAcentral.